CCAUGUCAUCCGCCAUGUUACUAACCAGUUGCACUGUGUGGGGACUGGGCACCAGUUGUAAUAUUGCCCAGUUCGAAGGAUUCCUGCACGCGUUUUGCUGUCCCGCUACUGGGUACGGGGACACACUCCCGUGUCACCCAUAGGUAUUACAGAGUGUCUGCUCCAACUACCACGGAAUAAACAGAUAUAGCAUCACAAGCCGUAGCCUGUAGUUUAUGUAAUAAACAGAUAUAAC
Haliotis rufescens (red abalone) is the source of this 235-nucleotide long non-coding RNA. RefSeq lists it as uncharacterized. NCBI's taxonomy places the organism in Eukaryota, Metazoa, Mollusca, Gastropoda, Lepetellida, Haliotidae. The record is from RefSeq and is a predicted model, not a curated record. The transcript is spliced from 3 exons.